RNAcentral lists this long non-coding RNA (5567 nucleotides) under Medicago truncatula (barrel medic). RNAcentral's name for it is "long non-coding RNA (MTRU_LNC004135)". The record is from RNAcentral. Lineage: Eukaryota; Viridiplantae; Streptophyta; Magnoliopsida; Fabales; Fabaceae.
GGAUGAGAAGCAUACAUAAUCAAUCACACAGAUAUAUCCUCUUACAUUCACACAAUCAUCAAUAAACUUUCAUUCACUACAAUGCCUUCUACAACUUUCACUGUUCGUCCAAAUGCUGGGUUUAGCCUAGCAGAUCUACCCAACUUACAACCAGGAGACAACCUACACAUCAAAGGCCUUCAGAAUUUGAGAAAUGGAGGGGAUGUUAGAGAACCUAACUUAAGUAGUAUGCGAUUAAAUCGCUUACACUUGGCUUGGGAUCGCAAUACCAAUUCUACCAAUUCUGCUGAGGAAGUUCUCGGAGCCCUUAGGCCUCAUAGAGAUCUCACGGGUUUCAGGUUGAGCGGUUACCGGGGAAUGAAUAUUCCAAACUGGAUGACAGAUAUUUCUAUUUUGGGACGUUUGGUUGAUGUUAAACUCAUGAAUUGCAUAAACUGUAGCCAACUUCCUCCACUUGGUAAAUUACCUUUUUUAAACACUCUUUAUCUAUCUCAAAUGACAAAUGUGAAGUACAUUGAUGAUUCACCUUAUGAAAUUUCAACCGAAAAUGCUUUUCCGUCAUUAACGGAAAUGACACUAUUUGAUUUACCUAAUUUAGAGAGGGUGUUGAGAAUCGAAGGAGUAGAGAUGCUAUCACAACUUUCUAAGUUAAGCAUUCAGAGUAUCCCUCAAUUUGAACUUCCAAGCCUUCCCUCUGUUAAGGAAGUUUAUGUUGGAGGAGAAACUGAAGAGGAUAUUGAUCAUGAAGCAUCUUUCCUGAGAGAUAUUGCAGGUAAGAUGCCUAACCUCAAAGAACUUAUGAUUGACGCCUUUCAUCAACUCACGGUACUACCUAAUGAACUCAGCUCUCUCCGUUCCCUAGAAGAACUAUACAUAAUAGAUUGUAAUAAGCUUGAGUCCAUUCCUAAUAAUGUAUUUUAUGGUUUGAUUUCUCUUCGAAUUUUGAGCUUUGUAAUCUGCCAUAGCUUAAAUUCCUUGCCCCAAAGUGUGACAACCCUAACUAGUCUUCAGAGACUUAUAAUACACUAUUGUCCCGAACUCAUUUUACCAGCUAAUAUGAACAUGUUAAAUUCCCUUCGUGAAGUGAGUAUCAUGGGUGGGGAUAGAAGGCGCGGGAUAUAUAACGGCUUAGAAGACAUUCCCUUGCUGCAAAAUUUGUCUCUGAGAGAUUUUCCUUCUCUUAGAUCUUUGCCAGACUGGUUGGGAGACACGCUAUCUCUUCAGGAAUUAGAAAUUAGUAAGUUUCCUAAGUUAACCUCGUUACCAGACAACUUUGACCAACUCGAAAACUUGCAGAAACUAUGUAUUGAUAGAUGUCCUAGGCUUGUGAACCGACUCGCAAGAAGAACAGGUGAAGAUUGGUAUAAGAUAGCUCAUGUUCCUAUAUUGAGUUUGAGAUUGGAAUCAGAUGUUGUGCAUCCAAUUAACGGUAAUUUAAAGAUUUUGCUAUAAUUUAGUAAAUAAGUUACGUUUUUUACUAAAGCCAGUAUUCUCAUAAAAUUCUUGAUGUUUUCUAACACAUUGAAUUGUUAUGUGCAGAAGAAGAGUAUAGCAAUUCAGACAAUGAAUUGGACAUGGAGGUUGAUGAGCCAUGAGUGAUGAACAUGUAUAUGAUUCAAAUCAUUGCAAAAUAUUUUGGAUUUGAUUUAAAUCAUUGAUGGUUAAAUCCUCUCUCGUUUGUUUGGAGUUGUAGAGGAUUUUAUUGGAUUCCUGUUGUUGUUUUCAAUUUGGUUUGAUGGUUUGUGUAUUUUGCACUUUUCUUAUUUGGUUUGUUGUUGACUGUUUUUUCAUUUUGUUUGGUUUGAUAUCCGUAUUAAGAGAUUGGGUUGUAUUUUGUGUGGAUUUUUUAGAUUUUUCUAUAUAUAUUUAUGAUAUGUUGUUUGGUUUCUUAAAUGUAAUAUCCGAAAGCUUAAAUAUAGGAUUUUUAAGAAAAUCGUUCAAAAGCUAUUAAUAAUAGAGAUUAAUUGGAAUAGACUGGCAAACAAGUUUACACUGUUAACCAUUUAAAAUCAUCUAAUUAAACACCUUAUCUUUUUUUUAAGGAAAUUAAACACCUUAUCUUAAGGUAUAAACAAAGAAAAAAUCUGAACGCAAAAUUUUGUGAAAACCUACCGAUACCAUCCACCUCCGGUCUCUUUUCCUUUAUCUCUUUUGUGAGCCGUCACCAAAACCCUAGUUUCUUCUCCUUCAUCCACCAAAGAGGGGUGAUUUAGGGUCAAUUUUUGACCCGAAAUCACCCCUCUAACUCGUUUUUCACUUUCACUUUCAUUGAAAUAAGUGAUUUUCACAUCUAUUUCGUUUUUUAUUUUGUGAUUUCGUCGUCUUCGUGCGACGUUGGUUGUUCAUCGUCCUUGUGCGACGUUGUUUGUUUUUCUGUUUCUCUCAUGUAUUUGAUCUGUUCAGAUUGUCAGAUCAGUUUCAAUACAGUGCAGAUCCAAUCAAUGACUUGGCGUCAUCCACGUUGCAGAUCCGGAAAGAUGAUUAUUCCGGAUAUUUAAAUAUAGUCAUAUGUGUAGGCAUUUGUACUUUGCCGUUUUAUGCUAUUAACAUGGAUGUUGUGAGCCUGUUCACCACAGAUUCAUUCUUUUUGUUUUUAGCGAAUUUGCAUUAUAUCGAUGUACUAUUUCAAUUUGAAUGAAUGAAUUUAUUUUAUUUUGUCAAAAAAAAAAAACAGAGAAAAAAUCUAAUAAAAUCUUACAAUAAAUUCACUCAACCCACGUUUUUUUUUUGGUCAAGUAGCCUAGUGGUUAGAGCUAACACAUAUGAAUGUGGAGAAAUGGAGUGUCCGGGGUUCGAACCCCGACCCCUGCAUAUAAUAUGCAAUAUCCUUAUCAACAGAGCUAAUUUUGACAUUUGAUUUUUUAGUUUACAGUCUGCAUCACACAUAGUGCAUCCUUCUCCCAAUAAAUCAAGUUUUGCAAUUGCACUGUUAAGACAUUGAAUCACAAAAUCAUGUUACUUCAAACGGAGCAACUCGUAAUUGUCACAAGUUUGAUUUUUUGGUAUUCUUUGUAGAUAUGUCUUAACUGUAUUCCUUAAGAAAAAUGUUUAUUCUCUCCAAUCACGGUAUGUUUCCACAGAGAUGGACCCUUGAAAACUAGGAAUCAAAUGUAAAAAUUAGAAACGUGGGUUGAACGCAUUUAUUAUAAAAAUUUUAUUUGAUUUUUCUUUUUUUAACACUUAAGAGGAGGUGUUUAAUUGGAUAAUUUUUAUUGGUUGAUAGUGUAAACUUGUUUUAGAAUGUGGGUCUAUUCCAAUUAAUCUCAAUUGGAUUUAUAUUGGUAUCCUAAAAAUAUGUUGUUUAAGGAGACUGUACUUUUUCUUUAGGGGAAAAAGGAGACCAUAUUUGUUAUACACAUGAAACCCAUAAUCAUUCCAUCCAAUUUUUUGUUUUGUUUUGUUUAAUUCGUGUUUUUUUACUUUAUCAAAGUAGUGAGAACAAGUUCAAUACAUAUGUAGGGACCUAAAACAAGAUAUGCUAUUCACCUUUAUCUAUCUAUCUGCCCAAAAUUUUAAUAUUAUGUGAUCAUAUUUAAAAUUCUUAAACGCCAGUCAUUAAUAUUCAUUUUAGAUUAUUUUUAGGACAUUGAUGAGUCUAUGAUGUUUUUCAAAGCAAAAAUCACUGAUCAGAAGCAGAUAGAGUACAGUUUCUGAAGUGAUGUUCAGAUUCUAAAUGCAAUUAUACAUAUUCUUCCACAAAUCGGAAGUCAGUCAUGUCCCCCUUGCAUUUCUAAGGAGAGUUUACUAAAAUGUAAUAUCUGAUUACGACUACUCACUGCUAAAACUAGCAAGAGACUUCAAACUACUCAAGCACAACUGCAAGAGAUUUCCUAUGCUCCUGAACACAAUCAAGAGACUUCUUAUGCUCAAGCACAACUGCAAGAGACUUCUAUUCAAACAUAAUUUCAAAGAAAAAUGUUUGAGGUUGAACACUUGAUAUACAAUUAGUCGUGUUCACAAUAUAAAUCACAUACAGUCUCUUAAGACUAUAGAAUUUCUAAGAUAUGAAAGUUUGAUAAGAAAUUCUAAGUGAACUUUUGAUGCAUAACAAUUUCAGCGGAGUUUUGGCGCUUGUAAAUUGUUGUAGAGUCUUGCCAUCCUCUAAGUCUUCACUCCUUUACAUAGAGGUGUGAAAGAGAUGUUGUGAAUUGCCAGCACAUCAAAAAGUGUCGUUUGAAACUUUGAUUAAUAAUCAAUGAUCUUUUGCCUUAUAUGGUUAUUGUUCUAUGAAAGAUCAAUUUCAAAUCCAUUCAAAGUAUGAAGGAACAUCGUUGUAGGCAUAGUUGUUAUCCUUAGAGUGUGCUACUCCUCUAGUCUCAAGUUCGAUUCUUCUUAGUACCAAUUUAACAUAAAAAAAAAAAAAAAAAAAAAACAUAUCUUGUAAUAGAACAACUAACAACGUACACUUUUUCAAAGUUAAAAACAUACGACACUCUUUGUCCUGUUUAGUUAUCUUGUGGGUGUAAUGAUUUAGUUCUGAAUGUGGAAAUUGCUUUAGUUAUUUUUAAUUAAAAACUAUUUCUUCUUGGUCAUUUUUUAACAUUUCCUUGGUCAUUCUUUAAUAUAUAAUGAGAAAAUUGCAUUUAACUAAUUUAUAUUGGUGACUUGAAAAUAUGUUGUUUAAGGAGACCAUACUUGUUAUUGGUAGUUUCACACACUUGUUUACACCACUUUGUUAACUUUCUAUGCUAAUUGGAAUUGCAAUAAUUAUAGGGGGGUGGUUUGCCAUUUUUUAAUUAGGGGGUCAAAAUCGCAAUAUUUUAAAACUUAGGGGACAAAAUAUAAUGUGAUUAUCGUUGACUAUAAUUUAAUCGUUGACUAUCCAGGAGGAUUAUCAACUUCAUCAGAUUAUGAUGCAAUUUGCUAUAAAGGGCAAAUCCGGUGCACUAAAGCUCCCACAUAUGUAGGGUCUAGGAAGGAGGUCCUACCAUUUUUAGUGUAUUGUAUACAAUUUACUAUAUUAUUAGAAUUUAGAAGCAACACGUUAACUAUUAGUUAGGGUAUUUAAGUUCUAUAAAUAGGAUUGUUGAAAAUAUGGAGCAUUGAAAUAUCAUUAUUUUUUCUUCAAACUUUUAUGAUACAUAAUUUAAUGAAAAGACAUUCUCGUUAUUUUUUAUGUUCUCGUUAUCAUCCACAUGGUUAGUGGGUUGGUAAUGGCAUACCAAUAAUAUGAUUGUUUAGUAGAGGCAGCCAAGUAUAUAAAGGGAUGAGAAGCAUACAUAAUCAAUCACACAGAUAUAUCCUCUUACAUUCACACAAUCAUCAAUAAACUUUCAUUCACUACAAUGCCUUCUACAACUUUCACUGUUCGUCCAAAUGCUGGGUUUAGCCUAGCAGAUCUACCCAACUUACAACCAGGAGACAACCUACACAUCAAAGGCCUUCAGAAUUUGAGAAAUGGAGGGGAUGUUAGAGAACCUAACUUAAGUAGUAUGCGAUUAAAUCGCUUACACUUGACCUGGGCUCGCAAUACCAAUUCUGCUGAGGAAGUUCUCGAAGCCCUUAGGCCUCAUGAAGGUCUCAAGGGUUUCGGGUUGAGCCGUUACGGCGGAAUGAAUAUUCCAAAC